CUGUGACAGAUCAUACUGUGACAUUUUAGCUCCUCCUUGUCGCUCGAGAACGAACUUUGCACCAGGAAAUGUUAGACGAAGUCACAUUAGAUUCACUCGAGCACUCAUUCAGAUUCUUUAGUGUUUAGUAAAUGAUAAUGGAUGUUCAGAAGUAUUUAUUGCGCAUCGGCUGCUCUGUGUCGUGUCCCUGCUCUCCGACACUGGACACUUUGUGUUCUCUUCAUCUCUGCCACUUGCUCUCGGUUCCUUUCGAGAACCUGAGCAUCCACACUGGGGAGUGCGUUCACCUCGAGCUCCCGCUGCUCUACGACAAAGUCGUGUUAAAAAGACGAGGAGGAUUUUGCUACGAAAACAACGGGCUUUUCUCCUGGCUCUUGUCUCAGCUCGGGUUUGACGUUGAGAUUCUGGCUGCUCAGGUGAAAAAUCAGUUCACCGGUUUUUACGGACCUCCGUUUGACCACUUGAUCAUAAUGGUGACUAUUGACGGAGAAAGGUGGCUUUGUGAUGUGGGCUUCGGGGCCGGUUUCCAGCGCCCUCUUUCCCUCGACACGGACAGUGCUCAAACUCAGAGUCAUGGCGUGUACCGGGUUCGAGCAAACGGAGAUCUCCUUUUUAUGGAAACACGGUCAGAGAGUGAUAACGGUGCAUCCUGGGUGGAGCUGUACAAGUUCACCCUUCAACCAUGUCAGAGAGAGGACUUUACAGCCAUGUGUGAGUACCAUCAGACCUCCAGCAGCUCUGUCUUCUUCUGCAAGUCCCUCUGCACCCUCCUAAUACCAGAUGGAAGGAUUACUCUGAUGGGCCGAAAUCUGAUUAUCACCCACCUGACCAGUGAUGAUGGACCACCAGUGAAGACCACCAAAACAGAUCUUACUGAUGAAGAAAUCAUCCAGAUACUGAGGGAGAAGUUUGGAAUAGUGCUGAUGUCUUCACUGAUCGCUAAAGAUACUGAGAUUGUGCCCCCAUCAGUGAACUAUUAAAGUGACACACUGUUAUAUGGCUAAAAGUAUGUGGAAAAGACACAGUGCUGCUUAUUUGUACUAUACUUCCUCUUCUUCUUCUUUUUCUUCUUCUUCUACUUUCGGCUUUUCCCGUCAGGGGUUACCACAUCGAAUCGUCUGUUUCCACCUAACUCCAUCCUCGCCAUCCUCUGCUCUAGCACCAAUUUACUCCCUGGUCUGUUUGAACACAUCCACGUUCUCUUCAUAUAUAUUAUUGUGGAACUCAAAACUUCACUACAUCAACGCAGAUUUUUGUUGUUAAAUAACAAACAUUUUUACACACAUUUAGUCUUAGGACUGAAAUCAUAACGCAUUACAAAAUAUCUGUGAACAUUAAAUGUCGCAGUAUUCUCAUGUUGUGAAACUAAAAGUGCUGAUACUGGAGACUCCUUACAACAAGACUGCAAAAUUAACAUCUCUUCACAGAAAACCUCAUCAUAUCACUGACUUUUAUACUCUUUUUUUAAUCAGUCUUCACCGAGGGAGCCAAUAAUUAUGGAGCUGAUUACAGGCAUAUUGUCAUUGUUUAUUAUUCGUGUUAAAGCAAGUGCUUAUAGCUGGAUAAACAAGCACAAUUAUACAUGAAUAUGUAAAUUUAGUAUAAAACUUCUGCUUAUUAUUAUUAUUAUUAUUAUUAUUAUUAUUAUUAUUAUUAUUAUUAUUAUUAUAAGAGUUUCUGAAAUUGCACAUUUUAUAUUGCCACAAAAACAAAAUAAAAAACUUCUUGUUGUCUAAAUAAAAACAUCAUCAAAAGGUCAAGAUAAUGUAGUAUUUUGUUGUAGUUUAUUAAGCAACUAUUUAGUAAAAAAAAUAAAAAAUUACAAAGAAAUUGAUUAUAAGACAAAAAGUGCAUUUAUUUAUAAAACGCGUUUCCGGAAAUUUGUCUCCUUCCGGUUUCCGUAAUCAUGUGGGAAUGUUGAAUGUGGUAAUGUUGACUAGCCGAAGAUUAGUGAAGGCGGUGUUGCCCCUGGCGUUGCCCGGGUCGCUGGUCCUCGUGUCAGGACGGGUUUUUGCUGCUGAUGAGAAUGAAGAAAGCGAGUCGUCUCUGCUCACAGAUGAGCUCUCUCUGUACAGCACCCCACACACUCGAGUGCCAUGCGGGAAGCCGGAAGUCGGCUCCA
Tachysurus fulvidraco (yellow catfish) is the source of this 2122-nucleotide RNA transcript. It is a transcript of the gene named apolipoprotein O, b, with no coding region annotated. The transcript is spliced from 3 exons. NCBI's taxonomy places the organism in Eukaryota, Metazoa, Chordata, Actinopteri, Siluriformes, Bagridae. The record is from RefSeq and is a predicted model, not a curated record.